AGCCCGUGAUCCGGCUGUUCCCGCUGCCCUUUAAAGCACUUGGAGAAAUUAACAACCAAACCAAACCCCGCCUGACCGCCCGGCAAUUGGUAGCCACUCGUUCGGGUGGCGGGGGCAUAGGCGGGUCGGUUUGGUGGGGUACGGUCGCCGCACACCACCACAACCACAGACAGUGAACGACCCCCGACAGGACGGCAAUCCUGACGAGGGUCUGACCACGCAGGAAGAAAAGAGCUUCCCC
Molecule: non-coding RNA, 241 nt
Filed under: Streptomyces tsukubensis
Lineage: Bacteria; Bacillati; Actinomycetota; Actinomycetes; Kitasatosporales; Streptomycetaceae
Description: Streptomyces tsukubaensis Streptomyces sRNA 4677
Rfam family: Streptomyces sRNA 4677
About the family: Located in the intergenic region between anti-sigma factor SCO4677 gene and a putative regulatory protein gene SCO4676. scr4677 expression requires the SCO4677 activity and scr4677 sRNA itself seem to affect the levels of the SCO4676-associated transcripts.
Source: Rfam by way of RNAcentral